CAGCUAAGUAUUCUACUCACGUUUAUAUUUUACUCAAAUAAUAAAAAGAUGCAUAAUCAUAAAAACCCAAAUAAAGAUUUUGUGCUCAUAUAUAUAUCUUUGCUUAGUUUGCUAAAUAAAUAAAUAAAUAAAGUUUGCUAUGAACCCUCAUGAUAAGUUCUCACAUGGAAAUAAUGAAUAGUUGCUCUGCCAUGACUAGUUCUCAAAAUUGAAAUCUCUCUCAAGUGUAGGCAUGACUGUUAUUAAUUAAGAUUUGCUCUAAACCUGAACUUGUGGGGAGAGUACUUAAUCUAAAGUCUAAGUCGUUAACGGAUAUGAUAUGCGAAGGUUGAGCUGCUGUUUAUCUGUUCCUAGAGAUGCUAGAAUUCUGGAGAAUUUUAUCUUUGAAAAUCUUUAAAAUGUUGCAUGAUGAGUUCCUGUAUGAUGAGAGUUUAAAUUCCUACCACAGCCAUAUAUACAUGCUUGUUAGACUAUGAACCACACAUUUACUUUUUACUGCUUAUGAGCAUUGAGUGUGGUCAAGCUUACCCUUAGGAGCUUGUCAUGUGGUUAAAUCAAGAUUCACUUGCACGUUCACUCACACAUGCUACUUCUACUCCAGAAGUACCAUCCACAUAUAUCCAUCCAUUUCCAUAUCCAGAACCACCCAAAAAUGUUCUACUCCUAAUCCGGGAGAGAAUAGCCAAAAACAUUCUCCUAUUUCUAUUUUUUCCUGUGAAAAAAAUGCUCAAGUUAUCUUGGUUACUACCACUUGCUAUAUUAUUUCAGGAGAUGAGUGCUCUAAAAAACUAAAGAAAAAAAGAAAGAAUGCGAGGAAAUAAAAAGGGGCAAGUGCCCGGAACCUCGAAAGAAAGAAACAGUGAGACGAGAGGUAAAAAUGGACAAGUGUCCGACAGUAGAAUUAGACUUUCACCACGUGAGAGAAAAAGAAAAUAUAGAGCAUCUCAUUUUCCUCAAAAAGUUUCAAAAGAGCAAGAAAGGUAUGUACCCCCUCAAAAGAGCAAAAGUAGAAUUAGACUUUCACCAUUGUUAUUACCAUCGUCACCAUACACCAUUCAUUCGCCACACAUGCACAUCUUGAUUUGACUUAUUGACUUGUUCUUCUGGAUCCAUGGUUUGACUAUGCAAUAAAUGUAUGUAUUAGCUAUCUCCUACCUAUGAGCUCCAGAUAUCAAAACCUUAUUAGAGUAGGGUGAGAGAGAAGGCAAUGCCACUAUGCCUCAUACAAAAAAUACCACAUACUUUGAGAGAAGGCAUAUACCAUUACUGCC
This 1271-nucleotide long non-coding RNA is filed under the name Sorghum bicolor (sorghum). RNAcentral's name for it is "long non-coding RNA (SBIC_LNC008395)". Lineage: Eukaryota; Viridiplantae; Streptophyta; Magnoliopsida; Poales; Poaceae. The record is from RNAcentral.